CGCGGCCUAUCAGCUUGUUGGUGGGGUAAUGGCCUACCAAGGCUUUGACGGGUAGCCGGCCUGAGAGGGCGACCGGCCACACUGGGACUGAGACACGGCCCAGACUCCUACGGGAGGCAGCAGUGGGGAAUAUUGCACAAUGGGCGAAAGCCUGAUGCAGCGACGCCGCGUGAGGGAUGACGGCCUUCGGGUUGUAAACCUCUUUCAGCAGGGACGAAGCGCAAGUGACUGUACCUGCAGAAGAAGCACCGGCUAACUACGUGCCAGCAGCCGCGGUAAUACGUAGGGUGCGAGCGUUGUCCGGAUUUAUUGGGCGUAAAGAGCUUGUAGGCGGCUCGUCACGUCGGGUGUGAAAACUCGCGGCUCAACCGCGAGCCUGCACCCGAUACGGGCGGGCUAGAGUUCGGCAGGGGAGACUGGAAUUCCUGGUGUAGCGGUGGAAUGCGCAGAUAUCAGGAGGAACACCGGUGGCGAAGGCGGGUCUCUGGGCCGAUACUGACGCUGAGAAGCGAAAGCGUGGGGAGCGAACAGGAUUAGAUACCCUGGUAGUCCACGCCGUAAACGUUGGGAACUAGGUGUGGGGCCCAUUCCACGGGCUCUGUGCCGCAGCUAACGCAUUAAGUUCCCCGCCUGGGGAGUACGG
RNAcentral lists this ribosomal RNA (643 nucleotides) under uncultured Actinomycetes bacterium. RNAcentral's name for it is "bacterial SSU rRNA". It matches the Rfam family "Bacterial small subunit ribosomal RNA", at positions 232 to 885 of the family's 1533-position model. The record is from RNAcentral. Lineage: Bacteria; Bacillati; Actinomycetota; Actinomycetes.